UUUUGCAACUCGUCUAUGAAUUACAAAGGCAAUGUUUACCGUGACCUAAUGUCUGUGACUGUUGUUUUAUUACUCCGUCGUAGGCUAAUAUACGAAGGCCCGUUCUCUGUCGUUUUCUAUAGUCUGAGUGCAAAGACUGAAACACAUUCUUGGCACAAGUGGAAGCGCUGACAGAGUCGUCGGUCAGUGUAAGGAGAAAACGAAAGCAGUGAUCCAGUGGCGGAAGCUUCAUAAUGCCCCCGACCUGAUCAACUUCUCCAAACUAGGGAAUCGAGAAACAUUCCAUGUGAUUACAAUGUAACAGCUGCUACAAUAAAGGGGAAAAAGAUAGCCUAUACGAAUGGAUUGUUUGUCCAGUUUGAGAGGAUUUAAUAACGACUGAUUCAGGCAUGUGAACAUGGAUUAAAAAUGACAAAUGCAUCUUCUUGGAACUUCUGUUUUGGCUUUCUUUCUUCUGCCUCUUGUCUUCUCCUGCGAAAGUACUAAAUCAAAAAACGAGAUUUCUCGGGAUUACGAAAAUGUCAUUGCCAAACAGAUGCGGCAUAUUAACACCAGUAUUGAGAACCAACUGAAGAGGACUUGCAAGAAGAGGGAAAUUAAUAUGUCGCAUAAGGCAAACAAUGCAAAAUAUCACAUACACAAUGUGUCCUGUAAUCUUAUAACAAAGAAUUUGCCAGGAGAUCUGGAAAUGGAACUGACAAAUCUAGUGAAUGGGAUAAAUGCCUCUCUUGGAUGCCAAUGUCCUACACAGCAGGCAGGCCGGGGGAAAAAAACUUUACACAGGAAGCUUUGCAAACUGAAACACUCCCUUGUAAUAAUACAGCAAGCUUAUGAACAAUACAAUUCUGCACCAUAAGUGUGGAGCCCGUUUCCAUAGUGACACCUGAUGAAAGACAUUCAAGCUACAACAAAAACAAACAAAACCAAAAGCAGCAGCAGCAUGGUUCACUAAUGGCAGCAAUUCUAAGAGAUGAAGAGCACACAAGUGCAUAAAGAGACUAAACAGCUUUUGUCAAUAAGAGGGUGACAGUCUGUUUCUGCACGAUAGACCAGAAUCCCUUUUGGUAAAGAUACUUUGGUGGUUUCACUUAUAAACAGGUGCUUUCGGCAACAUUCCAUGUUUGUAAUCGUAUACUUAAAGCUUUGGAUGUCCACUUAACUCUGAUGUCCACUUACAGACGUCUUCUUACAGUGUACUGCAUGUCAAGUCAGGUUUACGCCUGUAAUUUUGCUGAAUUAACUGUAAAACCAUUUGCAUGUUUUAAACACAGUGCAGCCUUUCAGUUUCUACAUUAAUGGUUAUACUCACAAAACUGCUGAAACAAUCAAUAUUCUAUGAUGUGUAUGAUGUUUAUCACUACUUCUACAUGAAUAAAUAUAUUUUUA
This is a long non-coding RNA of Electrophorus electricus (electric eel), 1386 nucleotides long. RefSeq lists it as uncharacterized. Lineage: Eukaryota; Metazoa; Chordata; Actinopteri; Gymnotiformes; Gymnotidae. The record is from RefSeq and is a predicted model, not a curated record.